GAUGCCCCUUGAGGUGUUGCAGCUCAGCCUUCCAUGUUGCAGCUGUGUCAAAAGGCGGCACAGAGUACAGGUGGUCGUCUGCACUGAGUCGCCAUGUUACAGACGACUCGGCGUGAUUUUUGACCGAUAUG
Molecule: small nucleolar RNA, 131 nt
Organism: Dunckerocampus dactyliophorus (ringed pipefish)
Lineage: Eukaryota; Metazoa; Chordata; Actinopteri; Syngnathiformes; Syngnathidae
Product: small nucleolar RNA SNORA17
Exons: 1
Source: RefSeq, a predicted model, not a curated record